UAAAGGUGUUUAUAGCAGCACAAAUGAGC
This 29-nucleotide non-coding RNA is filed under the name Homo sapiens (human). The record is from RNAcentral. Lineage: Eukaryota; Metazoa; Chordata; Mammalia; Primates; Hominidae.